CAAGAAGUAGCUUAAAAUCAAAGCACUCUGCUUACACCCGAGCCAUGCUCAUCUUCCAACCGAGCCUUCUUGA
Molecule: transfer RNA, 73 nt
Filed under: Hemidactylus almakhwah (Al Makhwah gecko)
Lineage: Eukaryota; Metazoa; Chordata; Lepidosauria; Squamata; Gekkonidae
Description: tRNA-Val
Source: RNAcentral